UACUAGCAAUUCCAGCUACAGAUUUCUGAGCGUCUACCUCCUUCUCUCACAAAGGUCCUUCAAGACAAGUGCUGUUAUUGUCUGCAUUGUACAGACAGGAAAAUUGAGGCUUAGCAUGUUCAGCAACUUGCCCAAGGUCAGUCCCUCAGCUGGUAAGGGGCAGAGCUGGAAUUCAAAGCCAGGCUGCCACAAGUUCAGACUUCUGUCUAUCAGGGCAGGAUGGAUGGGGCAGAUAAUGAUGGGGUCUCUUCAGCUUCUGGAUGGCCAAGAAAGGGAGCAAAGCUGGCGGGAGACACAGGAUUCCCUAGGUUGGCUGCCUCUCUGAAAAGCAACGCCUUUAGCUCUGCGAAUGACUGUCCACUCCCUGAAAGGGAGCUGGACUUUGAGGCAGCUGAGGGUGGGGAGCAGGUGGUGAUCAAAGCCACAGGAUAGAACAGUGAGGCAGGAUACUCUUCAAUCUCUGUAGCACUUAAUCUUCCAAACCUCAGUUUCCUCAUUAAAUUAUC
This 506-nucleotide long non-coding RNA is filed under the name Pan troglodytes (chimpanzee). RNAcentral's name for it is "long non-coding RNA NONPTRT003231". The record is from RNAcentral. Lineage: Eukaryota; Metazoa; Chordata; Mammalia; Primates; Hominidae.